CCUUAGAGUUUGAUCCUGGCUCAGGAUGAACGCUGGCGGCGUGCCUAAUACAUGCAAGUCGAACGAAUCUCUUCGGAGAUGAGUGGCGAACGGGUGAGUAAUACAUAGGUAACCUGCCCCUGUGCGGGGGAUAACAGGAGGAAACUCCUGCUAAUACCGCAUAGCCAUGAGCACCGCAUGGAGCUCAUGCCAAAUAUCCUUUCGGGGAUAGCGCAGGGAUGGACCUAUGGCGCAUUAGCUUGUUGGCGGGGCAACGGCCCACCAAGGCAACGAUGCGUAGCCGGCCUGAGAGGGCGGACGGCCACAUUGGGACUGAGACACGGCCCAGACUCCUACGGGAGGCAGCAGUAGGGAAUUUUCGGCAAUGGGGGAAACCCUGACCGAGCAACGCCGCGUGAGCGAAGAAGGCCUUCGGGUCGUAAAGCUCUGUUGUAAAGGAAGAACGGCGCAUACAGGAAAUGGUAUGCGAGUGACGGUACUUUACCAGAAAGCCACGGCUAACUACGUGCCAGCAGCCGCGGUAAUACGUAGGUGGCGAGCGUUAUCCGGAAUCAUUGGGCGUAAAGAGGGAGCAGGCGGCCGCAAGGGUCUGUGGUGAAAGACCGAAGCUAAACUUCGGUAAGCCAUGGAAACCGGGCGGCUAGAGUGCGGAAGAGGAUCGUGGAAUUCCAUGUGUAGCGGUGAAAUGCGUAGAUAUAUGGAGGAACACCAGUGGCGAAGGCGACGGUCUGGGCCGCAACUGACGCUCAUUCCCGAAAGCGUGGGGAGCAAAUAGGAUUAGAUACCCUAGUAGUCCACGCCGUAAACGAUGGUCACUAAGUGUCGGGGGUCAAACCCCGGUGCUGCAGUCAACGCAAUAAGUGACCCGCCUGAGUAGUACGUUCGCAAGAAUGAAACUCAAAGGAAUUGACGG
Molecule: ribosomal RNA, 913 nt
Filed under: uncultured bacterium
Lineage: Bacteria
Description: bacterial SSU rRNA
Rfam family: Bacterial small subunit ribosomal RNA
Source: RNAcentral